Molecule: ribosomal RNA, 383 nt
Filed under: uncultured bacterium
Lineage: Bacteria
Description: partial 16S ribosomal RNA
Rfam family: Bacterial small subunit ribosomal RNA
Source: RNAcentral
GACGAACGCUGGCGGCGUGCCUAACACAUGCAAGUCGAGCGGAGAUUUAAGUUUACUUAGAUUUUAGCGGCGGACGGGUGAGUAACGCGUGAGUAACCUGCCUUAUACAGAGGGAUAGCCUUGGGAAACUGGGAUUAAUACCUCAUGACAUAGCGAUAUCGCAUGAUAUUGUUAUCAAAAUGAAUGUGGUAUAAGAUGGACUCGCGUCUGAUUAGUUAGUUGGUGAGGUAACGGCUCACCAAGACAGCGAUCAGUAGCCGGCCUGAGAGGGUGAACGGCCACACUGGAACUGAGACACGGUCCAGACUCCUACGGGAGGCAGCAGUGGGGAAUAUUGCACAAUGGGGGAAACCCUGAUGCAGCGACGCCGCGUGAGCGAAGAA